GACGAACGCUGGCGGCGUGCUUAACACAUGCAAGUCGAACGAUGAAGCCGGAGCUUGCUCUGGUGAAUUAGUGGCGAACGGGUGAGUAACACGUGAGUAACCUGCCCUUGACUCUGGGAUAACUGCGGGAAACUGUAGCUAAUACCGGAUACGACCCUCGGAGGCAUCUCCUGGGGGUGGAAAGAAUUUCGGUCAAGGAUGGACUCGCGGCCUAUCAGCUAGUUGGUGAGGUAAAGGCUGACCAAGGCGACGACGGGUAGCCGGCCUGAGAGGGUGACCGGAGACACUGGGACUGAGACACAGCCCAGGGUCGUACGGGAGGCAGCGGCGGGGAAUAUUGCACAAUGGGGGCAAGCCUGAUGCAGCAGCGCCGCGUGAGGGAUGACGGCCUUCGGGUUGUAAACCUCUUUUAGCAGGGAAGAAGCGAAAGUGACGGUACCUGCAGAAAAAGCACCGGCUAACUACGUGCCAGCCGCCGCCGUAA
This 484-nucleotide ribosomal RNA is filed under the name uncultured bacterium. Its description in RNAcentral is "partial 16S ribosomal RNA". It matches the Rfam family "Bacterial small subunit ribosomal RNA", at positions 28 to 523 of the family's 1533-position model. The record is from RNAcentral.